RNAcentral lists this ribosomal RNA (253 nucleotides) under uncultured bacterium. RNAcentral describes it as "partial 16S ribosomal RNA". It matches the Rfam family "Bacterial small subunit ribosomal RNA", at positions 524 to 776 of the family's 1533-position model. The record is from RNAcentral.
UACGAAGGGGGCUAGCGUUGCUCGGAAUCACUGGGCGUAAAGCGCACGUAGGCGGAUUUCUAAGUCGGGGGUGAAAUCCUGGAGCUCAACUCCAGAACUGCCUUCGAUACUGGGAAUCUUGAGUCCGGGAGAGGUGAGUGGAACUGCGAGUGUAGAGGUGAAAUUCGUAGAUAUUCGCAAGAACACCAGUGGCGAAGGCGGCUCACUGGCCCGGUACUGACGCUGAGGUGCGAAAGCGUGGGGAGCAAACAGG